CUUAACAGCUUUCUAAUCAUGAUGGCUCUAGUUGUAAUAUUCCAUAUAGGCAAAUCUUGAUAACAAAGGUUCCACCUCGCAUUUUGUUUUUUUUGCAUGGGAAGCUAGUAGGGGUUGUAUUCUUACUAUUGACAAACUCCAAAGAAGAGGAAAAAUUCUGAUGAAUGCUUGCUACCUAUGCAAGCAGGCGGAGGAAAAUUGUAAUCAUCUGCUUCUAUGGUG
Molecule: long non-coding RNA, 222 nt
Filed under: Carica papaya (papaya)
Lineage: Eukaryota; Viridiplantae; Streptophyta; Magnoliopsida; Brassicales; Caricaceae
Description: long non-coding RNA (CPAP_LNC016347)
Source: RNAcentral